Molecule: ribosomal RNA, 500 nt
Filed under: uncultured bacterium
Lineage: Bacteria
Description: partial 16S ribosomal RNA
Rfam family: Bacterial small subunit ribosomal RNA
Source: RNAcentral
AUUGAACGCUGGCGGCAUGCCUUACACAUGCAAGUCGAACGGCAGCACGGGAGCAAUCCUGGUGGCGAGUGGCGAACGGGUGAGUAAUGUAUCGGAACGUGCCCAGUCGUGGGGGAUAACGCAGCGAAAGCUGUGCUAAUACCGCAUACGAUCUAUGGAUGAAAGCGGGGGAUCGCAAGACCUCGCGCGAUUGGAGCGGCCGAUAUCAGAUUAGCUAGUUGGUGGGGUAAAAACUUACCAAGGCGACGAUCUGUAGCUGGUCUGCGAGGACGACCAGCCACACUGGAACUGAGACACGGUCCAGACUCCUACGGGAGGCAGCAGUGGGGAUUUUUGGACAAUGGGCGCAAGCCUGAUCCAGCAAUGCCGCGUGCAGGAUGAAGGCCUUCGGGUUGUAAACUGCUUUUGUACGGAGCGAAAAGGCUCUCUCUAAUACAGGGGGCUCAUGACGGUACCGUAAGAAUAAGCACCGGCUAACUACGUGCCAGCCGCCGCCGUAA